AGAGAGAGUCUUUGUAACUAAGU
This 23-nucleotide microRNA is filed under the name Alligator mississippiensis (American alligator). RNAcentral's name for it is "Ami-Mir-459_3p* (star (passenger))". The record is from RNAcentral. Lineage: Eukaryota; Metazoa; Chordata; Crocodylia; Alligatoridae.